UGGCGGACGGGUGAGUAACGCGUGGGCAACCUGCCUUACACAGGGGGACAACAGUUAGAAAUGACUGCUAAUACCGCAUAAGCGCACGGGAACGCAUGUUUCUGUGUGAAAAACUCCGGUGAUGUAAGAUGGGCCCGCGUUGGAUUAGGUAGUUGGUGAGGUAACGGCUCACCAAGCCGACGAUCCAUAGCCGACCUGAGAGGGUGACCGGCCACAUUGGGACUGAGACACGGCCCAAACUCCUACGGAAGGCAGCAG
This 258-nucleotide ribosomal RNA is filed under the name uncultured bacterium. RNAcentral describes it as "partial 16S ribosomal RNA". It matches the Rfam family "Bacterial small subunit ribosomal RNA", at positions 96 to 354 of the family's 1533-position model. The record is from RNAcentral.